AGUGAUGUAGCCGCCCAGACAUUUUUUUUCCCACCUGGUCAACAACAUGAAUUUUGAGCCCCAAACAGGUUAUUUCUGCUGUCUGUGGUGUCUACUGAGGAUCUAAAGAACCUGUGGAACAUCAGAGACUUUGCAGCUAUUAGAGCUAACCUGUGUACUGCUAACUUGCUACAGAGGAAGCAGCAGAAAGCUGAGCUAACAGGCUGUUUUGCAGGCAAUCCUCGGGUGUCAGCAGGAGGAGGUGACUACCUGCAUUACGGAGCACCCUGGUUCUGAGCCAGUUGCACCUUUGUGCUGCUCUUUGGGGAGGUGAU
Long non-coding RNA from Nothobranchius furzeri (turquoise killifish), 314 nucleotides. RefSeq lists it as uncharacterized. The record is from RefSeq and is a predicted model, not a curated record. Lineage: Eukaryota; Metazoa; Chordata; Actinopteri; Cyprinodontiformes; Nothobranchiidae.